Molecule: ribosomal RNA, 1705 nt
Filed under: Shigella sonnei
Lineage: Bacteria; Pseudomonadati; Pseudomonadota; Gammaproteobacteria; Enterobacterales; Enterobacteriaceae
Description: partial 23S ribosomal RNA
Rfam family: Bacterial large subunit ribosomal RNA
Source: RNAcentral
UCCUGACUGACCGAUAGUGAACCAGUACCGUGAGGGAAAGGCGAAAAGAACCCCGGCGAGGGGAGUGAAAAAGAACCUGAAACCGUGUACGUACAAGCAGUGGGAGCACGCUUAGGCGUGUGACUGCGUACCUUUUGUAUAAUGGGUCAGCGACUUAUAUUCUGUAGCAAGGUUAACCGAAUAGGGGAGCCGAAGGGAAACCGAGUCUUAACUGGGCGUUAAGUUGCAGGGUAUAGACCCGAAACCCGGUGAUCUAGCCAUGGGCAGGUUGAAGGUUGGGUAACACUAACUGGAGGACCGAACCGACUAAUGUUGAAAAAUUAGCGGAUGACUUGUGGCUGGGGGUGAAAGGCCAAUCAAACCGGGAGAUAGCUGGUUCUCCCCGAAAGCUAUUUAGGUAGCGCCUCGUGAAUUCAUCUCCGGGGGUAGAGCACUGUUUCGGCAAGGGGGUCAUCCCGACUUACCAACCCGAUGCAAACUGCGAAUACCGGAGAAUGUUAUCACGGGAGACACACGGCGGGUGCUAACGUCCGUCGUGAAGAGGGAAACAACCCAGACCGCCAGCUAAGGUCCCAAAGUCAUGGUUAAGUGGGAAACGAUGUGGGAAGGCCCAGACAGCCAGGAUGUUGGCUUAGAAGCAGCCAUCAUUUAAAGAAAGCGUAAUAGCUCACUGGUCGAGUCGGCCUGCGCGGAAGAUGUAACGGGGCUAAACCAUGCACCGAAGCUGCGGCAGCGACGCUUAUGCGUUGUUGGGUAGGGGAGCGUUCUGUAAGCCUGCGAAGGUGUGCUGUGAGGCAUGCUGGAGGUAUCAGAAGUGCGAAUGCUGACAUAAGUAACGAUAAAGCGGGUGAAAAGCCCGCUCGCCGGAAGACCAAGGGUUCCUGUCCAACGUUAAUCGGGGCAGGGUGAGUCGACCCCUAAGACGAGGCCGAAAGGCGUAGUCGAUGGGAAACAGGUUAAUAUUCCUGUACUUGGUGUUACUGCGAAGGGGGGACGGAGAAGGCUAUGUUGGCCGGGCGACGGUUGUCCCGGUUUAAGCGUGUAGGCUGGUUUUCCAGGCAAAUCCGGAAAAUCAAGGCUGAGGCGUGAUGACGAGGCACUACGGUGCUGAAGCAACAAAUGCCCUGCUUCCAGGAAAAGCCUCUAAGCAUCAGGUAACAUCAAAUCGUACCCCAAACCGACACAGGUGGUCAGGUAGAGAAUACCAAGGCGCUUGAGAGAACUCGGGUGAAGGAACUAGGCAAAAUGGUGCCGUAACUUCGGGAGAAGGCACGCUGAUAUGUAGGUGAAGUCCCUUGCGGAUGGAGCUGAAAUCAGUCGAAGAUACCAGCUGGCUGCAACUGUUUAUUAAAAACACAGCACUGUGCAAACACGAAAGUGGACGUAUACGGUGUGACGCCUGCCCGGUGCCGGAAGGUUAAUUGAUGGGGUCAGCGCAAGCGAAGCUCUUGAUCGAAGCCCCGGUAAACGGCGGCCGUAACUAUAACGGUCCUAAGGUAGCGAAAUUCCUUGUCGGGUAAGUUCCGACCUGCACGAAUGGCGUAAUGAUGGCCAGGCUGUCUCCACCCGAGACUCAGUGAAAUUGAACUCGCUGUGAAGAUGCAGUGUACCCGCGGCAAGACGGAAAGACCCCGUGAACCUUUACUAUAGCUUGACACUGAACAUUGAGCCUUGAUGUGUAGGAUAGGUGGGAGGCUUUGAAGUG